Quercus lobata is the source of this 301-nucleotide long non-coding RNA. RefSeq lists it as uncharacterized. The transcript has 3 exons. NCBI's taxonomy places the organism in Eukaryota, Viridiplantae, Streptophyta, Magnoliopsida, Fagales, Fagaceae. The record is from RefSeq and is a predicted model, not a curated record.
GGAGAGACUCCAUACUGAUCACAACUCCACGGUGUGCUUGGGACUGGCCCUGGAGUGCGUGACCAUGGCCUCUAGCUGCAACUUAUUGCUGCAGGGAGGAAUUGGUACCUGUUACCAAAAUCUUUGGCCGCAAAGUGAACUUCAUCAAAGGUGAAAUGACCAUCAAGGGGAAGUGAUUUUAAUGUAGAAGGGAUGCUUGAAAGACAAAGAAGAGAGGGGAGGCAAAGGUGGAAGGAGUUUUAAUGCUAUAGCUUUUGUUUCUUUGUGAGCAAAAGCAAAGGAGAGGUUUGGAAGAGCCAAG